This is an RNA transcript of Neopsephotus bourkii (Bourke's parrot), 1865 nucleotides long. It is a transcript of the gene named large ribosomal subunit protein eL13-like, with no coding region annotated. NCBI's taxonomy places the organism in Eukaryota, Metazoa, Chordata, Aves, Psittaciformes, Psittacidae. The transcript has 3 exons. The record is from RefSeq and is a predicted model, not a curated record.
UUGAUUCCAACCCAAUCAAAUUUACUGAGUCAGAGCUUGGUUGUCUUGUCCUGUUUUUCUGUAUAUAGACCAUGUGCCGAGCUGUCAGUAUCUGGUGGCACUGGCUCAGCCAUGGGAGACCUGGGGGGUUGCUGCUCUACAGUGGUAUAGAAAACACUGGUCUUCCUUUUUCUUUAACCAGGGAGUGGGGAUGCAGUGUAUAUCAGAGUGAAAGGUGGCUUUGAAUAAAAAUAACCUUUUGUCUGGUCAGUCUGUUACUUAAAAUUCUGUUAAAAUUGGGUUCUGGAAGAGCUUUUGAGUCUCCUAAACUUCGUUGGGGGAGUGGAAGACUAAGAGCCUAUUCAUUAAAUUCUUUGGUUAUUUUGAAACACAUUUCUACUAAUCCUGGAAACUUAGCCAAUGUGAACCUGUUCACAUUGUGGACUGAGUAAAGCACAUUUAGUUUAUUUCCAGGAGAAGCAGGAGAUGUUGCCAGCACAGGGACCUGCUCCACGUAGCCUCACAGGGGACUUGAGACCAUUUCUCAUGCAAUAGCUAUGAGUUGGUUUAGGAAUGCUUUAAAGCCUGUGGAAGUGUUUCGUGCCCUCCAUUGCUUCAGGAAACUUUCUUAUGACCUUCCCAGGUGCACUGAACCAAUGAGCUGAUAAAAGCAGGAUUGUGAGGGCCUGUGGAACCCUCACCUGUGUAUCUUCUCACAGUGGGCAGGAAUAAUCAGGGCUCGCUGGCAGCCAGCAGUUGUCUCUUGAGCAUUGCUUAGCAUCUAAUUAAAACAUUUAUAACAGUGAAGUUAGUGUACUGAAGCAGUGAAAUUGUUUUUCUGGAUGCCAAAUGCUUCAUUAUUUAAGUUUUCUUUAAUUUUUGGAUAAUAGUGGAAUAUAAAAUGGUAUGCAGAUGUUUGUCUUUAAACAGAACAUGAGGUUAUUCCUUAAGAUGAUUACAAAAAAUACCCUUUUAAUGGUGAUUCCUGUAUUAGGUGAACCAGAGCUAUCCGUGCAAUGACUUCAUAAAUUUGUUGUGUGUAUCAGUGUUUAAAUGUUCCUCUCAUGAUUACUUGGGGAUUGCACUUAGCUCUCCUGAUGAAAUCCUUCUGCAAAAAUCACUGUAAAGUUAGUGGAAUGUCCUCAUCACUAAACUACAGACACACAGGUGCCUGUUGUCUGUGGCAUGCAUGACCCUUGUGCUACCACCAGGCUGCUCAGUCAGCUGCAGAGCUUUUCUCCAAGGUCUGCAGCUGUGAUGGCUUUGCUUGAACCCAUCCCUGGCUGAUGACUGAAGCAGCUCCUGGCGGUAGUGCAGUGUCACUGGGGCUUGUUAGAUGCUGACACCAAGCACUCUCUUCAGCUUGCUGGCCUCAACAAGAAGUUUGCCCGGACUAUUGGAAUCUCUGUGGAUCCCCGGCGAUGUAACAAGUCUACAGAGUCCCUGCAAGCCAAUGUGCAGAGGCUGAAGGAGUACCACUCCAAGCUUAUCCUCUUCCCAAGGAAGCCAGCUAUGCCGAAGAAGGGAGACUGCUCAGCUGAGAAACUCAAAAUGGCAACUCAGCUGAUUGGACAGGUUAUGCCGAUCAAGACUCACCAUGGAGUGAGCAGUGGAAAUGGAGCAAGACUGUGUUAAGCUUUGGACACGGUCCCUGGGAGGCUCUGUGUGCAGUCUGUUCUCUCUCCCACCAGGUUUUCAAGCGGGAGAAGGCUCGUGUUAUCUCGGAAGAUGAAAAGAACUUCAGGGCCUUCGUCAGCCUGUGUGUGGUUCGGGCUGACGCCCGACUUUUUGGGAUCCGUACAAAACGUGCCAAAGUAGCAGCAGAGCAUGAUUCGGAGAAGAAAUGAGCCAUUCUCCCUAGAACUGUCAAUAAAAAAAUGUGGAAA